Non-coding RNA from Helianthus annuus (common sunflower), 196 nucleotides. NCBI's taxonomy places the organism in Eukaryota, Viridiplantae, Streptophyta, Magnoliopsida, Asterales, Asteraceae. The record is from Rfam.
AAAAGAAAAAGAGAGCUUUCUUCAGUCCACCCAUGGGUUGCGAUAAGAUAUCAAUUAGCUGCCGACUCAUUCAGCCAAAUACUAAGUCAAAUUCUGGCUAUAUAUGGUGCUUGGUAAAUGAUUGAAUGAUGCGGGAGACAAAUUGAAUCUUAGGUUUCCUGUACUUGGACUGAAGGGAGCUCCCUUAGUUUUUAAU